UGAACACAGUCAGCAAGAUUAACCAGACAUACCACAGACUUGUCCAAUUAGACAUGUUCUGAGGGCAUGGUACAAAGAAAUACAAGAUAAGAAGGAGAUCAGCUUUAGCACAUUUCAGACACAGCAGUACUCCAAGUGGAGAUUUGGGAUGGAUUUGAUGCAGAGCGGUGCUUUUGGCCCCGGAGAGGAGCCUGCCAGCUGACUCCCAGCAGCUGACACUUCCGAGUCCUUACGAAGAAGAGCGUUGUGCGGCUCCGUGCGUGCAGCAAGGGCAGCCAAGUCACGGCCCGGAGCCGGGAAGGAGCUGGGAGAGAAACCGGGCAGCAGCGCACGGCCGCGAGUAAAUGUUCCUUCUGACCCGAUACUGCCACUCGAUCAGGAUGGGAACGGAUGGGGAAACGGACAUUUGAAAAAUUUCCAUUACUCACUGAUCAGAGUCCUUCGUGCUAUCCACAGAAGAGCAAAGCGGUGCCUGAGAAAGGGAAAAAAGGGGGUCAGGAAACCAGACGGGCAGCAGCAAAGCGCCGCCGUGUCCCGCAG
RNAcentral lists this long non-coding RNA (540 nucleotides) under Gallus gallus (chicken). Lineage: Eukaryota; Metazoa; Chordata; Aves; Galliformes; Phasianidae. The record is from RNAcentral.